Molecule: transfer-messenger RNA, 291 nt
Filed under: Bacillota bacterium
Lineage: Bacteria; Bacillati; Bacillota
Rfam family: transfer-messenger RNA
About the family: Bacterial tmRNA, also known as 10Sa RNA or SsrA, is named for its dual tRNA and mRNA-like properties. Its role is to liberate the mRNA from a stalled ribosome. To accomplish this part of the tmRNA is used as a reading frame that ends in a translation stop signal.
Source: RNAcentral
GGGCGUGUAAUCGGUUUCGACGGGGCGGAGAACAACACAAAAUCGCAGGUGUAAUUCACCUUACGAAUUAAUUUUAAAUAUAAACGCAAAAAAUAAUUAUAGACCUGUCUUAAUGGCAGCGUAAUUUUCUAUCUUUCUUAGUUUCUAUUGGUAAACUAAGUGGUGGUUGAUGAUAACCUUUACAUUUUAUUGUUUGUGUUGGUUGGCUAUAACCUAAAUAGUCUAUUGCGUAAGUAAUUUUUGUGAUUAAGUAUUCGUUGCGGACGUGGGUUCGAUGCCCACCACGUCCAG